CAAAGUUUGAGGUACGGAGAAUUAUGAUAAGAUAUCCCAAUUUUGAAUUCCAUUUUAUUGAAGUUCCACUGCAUGUCUUUUGAAUUUGCAAUUAUAACUACUUGCAGGAGAAGAGGAGGAAUUAAGAGGAAGCGACGGCGAAGAAGGGCAAAGGGAAGUGUAAAAAGGAAAUGGACAGUGAGAUGAGUGACCAGGAAGCGACGGCGAAGAAGGGCAAAGGGAAGUGUACAAAGAAAAGGGACAGUGAGAUGAGUGACCAGGAAGUGAAGAAGAAGAAAACAGGGAAAGGGAAAAGAACCAAGCAAACGCUAGUGAGACCAGUGAGCAUUGAGCAGGAAGAGAACCAACAAGAAGGGGCAGGAGUACACUGACGCGCACGACCAAGACCACAGCAUUCCAUUUCUAUUCCAUCCAUCCAUCCAUCUUCUUCCGCUUAUCCGAGGUCGGGUCGCGGGGGCAGCAGCCUAAGCAGGGAAGCCCAGACUUCCCUCUC
Molecule: non-coding RNA, 493 nt
Organism: Nerophis lumbriciformis (worm pipefish)
Lineage: Eukaryota; Metazoa; Chordata; Actinopteri; Syngnathiformes; Syngnathidae
Source: RefSeq, a predicted model, not a curated record